UACGAAGGGGGCUAGCGUUGUUCGGAAUAACUGGGCGUAAAGCGUAUGUAGGCGGAUCUUUAAGUCAGAGGUGAAAUCCCAGGGCUCAGCCCCGGCAUUGACUUUGAUACUGGAGAUCUGGAGUCUGGGAGAGGUGAGUGGAAUUCCGAGUGUAGAGGUGAAAUUCGUAGAUAAUCGGAGGAACACCAGUGGCGAAGGCGGAUCACUGGCCAGAGACUGACGCUGAGAUGCGAAAGAGUGGGGAGCAAACAGG
Molecule: ribosomal RNA, 253 nt
Filed under: uncultured bacterium
Lineage: Bacteria
Description: partial 16S ribosomal RNA
Rfam family: Bacterial small subunit ribosomal RNA
Source: RNAcentral